Molecule: long non-coding RNA, 712 nt
Organism: Vitis riparia (riverbank grape)
Lineage: Eukaryota; Viridiplantae; Streptophyta; Magnoliopsida; Vitales; Vitaceae
Exons: 2
Source: RefSeq, a predicted model, not a curated record
CCACCUCACUGGCUUCGCCGCUAAUCGCUCUCCCGUCUUCGAUCUCCUUUGCGAGUAACUUGUGCUGCCGAUAAAGACACGUGUACGCUACCUUGGCCCCGCUGCGCCCAUCUUACGAGGUGAGAUUUCCCGGCGCCACCGUCAGAGAGUCUUCCAUCGCCCUCCUCCGGCCGAUCACCGGCGCUGAUCCAUGUGGUAUACACGUUGACCUCCGGUUCUCCCCUUGCUCUCCUCCCUCGCCGUCACCUUUGGCGACCACUUCUCCGUCCGGUGCCCCAACCGCUCUGAGACUCCUGUUUCGACGAUUCCAAUGCAAAAGAAUCCAACGUCGAAAGCUCAGAAUUUAGCCUCUCGUCACUGUCGUCGAUUUUCGAUUGUUUUUCAACAGCAUUUGAGGACUCCCAAUUCUUUGAUACCUGUGCAGCUUGUCUCCUGCCAAGAAACAAUCAAAACAUGAAAACCAUCGUCUGUGAGCGUUGGAUUGAGGCCACGUGGCCCUGGAUAACCAUGACCUCCAGUUGACCAAGCUUGGCCGAGUGGGAGACGUGGACAAAUCUCGUCGGUUGAGGUAUAUGUGCCUAGUUUUGGCUACAGUUAUUAAUUUAUUGGUAUAUACAGCUAUUAUAUAGUGCACCAUGUCAUCUACGUACAGCUUGUUGUGCAUUGAUAUCUUUUUGCUUAAAUGACAAAAAAUGAUAGAUGUUCUUAUUUU